RNAcentral lists this ribosomal RNA (252 nucleotides) under uncultured bacterium. RNAcentral describes it as "partial 16S ribosomal RNA". It matches the Rfam family "Bacterial small subunit ribosomal RNA", at positions 524 to 776 of the family's 1533-position model. The record is from RNAcentral.
UACGUAGGUCCCGAGCGUUGUCCGGAUUUAUUGGGCGUAAAGCGAGCGCAGGUGGUUUAUUAAGUCUGGUGUAAAAAGCAGUGGCUCAACCAUUGUAUGCAUUGGAAACUGGUAGACUUGAGUGCAGGAGAGGAGAGUGGAAUUCCAUGUGUAGCGGUGAAAUGCGUAGAUAUAUGGAGGAACACCGGUGGCGAAAGCGGCUCUCUGGCCUGUAAUUGACACUGAGGCUCGAAAGCGUGGGGAGCAAACAGG